Molecule: long non-coding RNA, 2478 nt
Organism: Daphnia pulex (common water flea)
Lineage: Eukaryota; Metazoa; Arthropoda; Branchiopoda; Diplostraca; Daphniidae
Exons: 2
Source: RefSeq, a predicted model, not a curated record
GCCUGAACCCGCCAUCAUGAUCACAAGAAAUGCAAGUUUUGCUUGUGCUGGUAUCCACCUGUCAUCAGCACCAAUCUCAGUGUCAUCGCUUGGAUAAACAGCAUCCCUGUUGAUUGGAGAGACUUCCGAUGUCUGUCGAGUUACGGAUCGCUUCUUCCCCUGACUAUAAAUAUCCUAUGUCCUCGUGUACACCCAUGCGAGUGUGGGUGUAUUCAAGAGGACCCCUUUUUCCUACCUCGCCUGGUGGAUUCAACUUUCCUGCGGAUUGAGAACUUGUGGAUGGAUGCCUGGUCGUAUUUCCCGGAAUGAAAGGUAGGACAAAUGUAUCUCUAUUCAUUUUUUGGGGGGAUUAUUUGGUGGCGUUGAUUAUCAAUCGUUACGUAGUCAGUCACAGAGUAUGUUUAUUCCUGAGCUAGUCGGUUCACUGUUUUCUCUUGCCGUUUUUGUUUACUCAGUAAUGGUUCAUUAAAUAACUCAAGUGUAGAACAACUGUAGAUCAGGCCUGUUUUUGUACCUCACAACUUUUUCUGUGGUUAAACCAUCACAUUCGAAAAUAUUUUGAACUUUUAAUACGUCAAGCAAAGUGCAACUAGAAUUUUUUUUUUACCAAGUGGGACCUGCCGCCACACUGGCACCUCCUCGUUAGAAAAUCCGGAGAAAUGUUUUAAUCUCGUUUUUUUUUAAAGUUAGAGUCAAGGAAGGAAGGGAGGAAAUUCUCGUGUUAAUAAAAAUGAAGGGAACAUAUGUCUUUAAAUUAAGUGAAAAUGAACAAAUACCGAUGCACUGCACAACACAAGUUCAGAUAUUCUGUGUAUUUUCACAGGCCUCCACCGCUAGAUCCCCUGACUGCAUUUUUUUUUUGCGUCAAAUAAUGCACUACAAAUAUAACAAAAACACCAAAGAGUUAUCUCUAGACGACAGGGAAGUUGACCACUCCACCAGAACCACUUUUUCCCUUUAGCUGCAGCAUUCCUGAAUCAAAUGUAGCUCUGGAAUCGGAACAAUAACCGCCGGCAUACUGCCAACCCCAGGCGGCCUAUUUCAGAUGCGAUGGAAUCUUGUUAACCAAAAAAUGCGGAAAUCUAAACCAAGACUUCCUUACCUGAUAUCCAUUUCCGUAGGCGUAAUUGUACAUUUGCUGAAUGGUCAUGCCUCCAGAACAAGAGGCAGAAAAUUCACCGAUCGUAACCGGCUUAUUCAAACCGUAUGCUGAAGCCACGACCUGUUACCGUUUCAGUCAGAACAGACACAAAUUUAGAGCCAGUUAUUAACCACGAUUAUGAUCAGUAUAGUCCAACCUUAAAAGGUGCAGAUGCACUAAAAGGUGUGUAAGUAUGAAUUUGGUAGAAAUCAAGUUUUCCUAAUGUUUUCCCUCCAGCUGCAAUCAGACAGGCAUCCGUAUAGUAAUUUCCUGGAGGUUUGAAAUGAAUUGUUGAUUAUAUUUAAUCUGUUGAUAUACAAAUUUGACUGUAUGAAACAAACUUGUAUCAGAGAAAACGUCGGUUUGACUGUACUGGGACCAAGUACCGACUGUAACUAAAGCUCCUGGAUCAGCUGCUUUAAUUGCUGCCGCCUGCCAGUUAAUAAAUAACUGGAUUCUGUUGAAAAAUUAAUCAUUCUUUCACGAAACGAGCCGGAAUUCAAAUUAAUUUUUUAAAAUUAGCAAUACUGAUUCAUCGGAAUCCAUUUUCCAGUCCAUCCAGCUCCUGAGUUUGCCAUAGGUACCGUGUUGAAACAGCUAUUGGCGUCGGGCUUAUUAUUGUAAACUAAUGCUUCUGGUUCGUUGACGAUUUCCCAAGCUCCUAGUGCUGGAUGAGCUGCAAGUGCUUUCACCAUGGGCUAAUAAUUAAGAAAGAAUGUUUUUUUUUUUACUAUGCGUCGAAUAAUUAUAGUCAUUAACUAAUACAUGGCUAUUAACUAGUACAUGGCCAUUGAAGAAAUCGAAAAAGUAAUAUUUACCGUCAAAGCCUUGUCAAGAUAAGUCUGAAGUUUACUUUUAUCCCAGUACAGAUUGAUGGAAUUCUGAUUUCUAAGAGUGGCGCCGUUCCACAAGACAAAAAUAACUAGAAUAUUUCUUGCUUUGGCGGAAUCCAGGAAUGAUUUCAUGUCGGAAAUCAGCGUUCCAGUCUUAUCUGGACCCAGGACAUAGCCGUUUGCGUCGUAAUUUGGAGUAUUAUCGCCUUCCACAUGAAGCCAAACACCUAUAAACAAUGCAUCGUGAAUUAUAACUCUGAAAAUUUUUUUUGAGUAACUUACGAACGCUGUUUCCUCCAUUUGUUGCCACCUCAGCUAACCAUUGCUCGAAAGUAGUUUUUGAGUUGGCCGUGUACUUACCGUUUCCAAAGUCGUACCCAUAAGAGUUCCACGCAAAGUUGACACCUGAAAGGAAAACGGAUUUUCCGUUGAACAUGAGUUUGGUUCCGCUUACCGAAAGACGACUGGCUCGAGUCAAUUCUAGAGCGGAGACAAACAAAAUAA